Molecule: transfer RNA, 73 nt
Filed under: Bacillus subtilis
Lineage: Bacteria; Bacillati; Bacillota; Bacilli; Caryophanales; Bacillaceae
Description: tranfer RNA-Thr
Rfam family: tRNA
About the family: Transfer RNA (tRNA) molecules are approximately 80 nucleotides in length. Their secondary structure includes four short double-helical elements and three loops (D, anti-codon, and T loops). Further hydrogen bonds mediate the characteristic L-shaped molecular structure. tRNAs have two regions of fundamental functional importance: the anti-codon, which is responsible for specific mRNA codon recognition, and the 3' end, to which the tRNAs corresponding amino acid is attached (by aminoacyl-tRNA synthetases). tRNAs cope with the degeneracy of the genetic code in two manners: having more than one tRNA (with a specific anti-codon) for a particular amino acid; and 'wobble' base-pairing, i.e. permitting non-standard base-pairing at the 3rd anti-codon position.
Source: RNAcentral
GCCGGUGUAGCUCAAUUGGUAAAGCAACUGACUUGUAAUCAGUAGGUUGGGGGUUCAAGUCCUCUUGCCGGCA